CAUCAGUGGUUUCUGCUGGUA
RNAcentral lists this microRNA (21 nucleotides) under Eisenia fetida (common brandling worm). Its description in RNAcentral is "Efe-Mir-1992-P4_5p* (star (passenger))". The record is from RNAcentral. Lineage: Eukaryota; Metazoa; Annelida; Clitellata; Crassiclitellata; Lumbricidae.